Molecule: ribosomal RNA, 480 nt
Filed under: uncultured bacterium
Lineage: Bacteria
Description: bacterial SSU rRNA
Rfam family: Bacterial small subunit ribosomal RNA
Source: RNAcentral
UUGAACGCUGGCGGCAUGCCUUACACAUGCAAGUCGAACGGUAAUGCGGGGCAAUCUGGCGACGAGUGGCGAACGGGUGAGUAAUGCAUCGGAACGUGUUUAGUAGUGGGGGAUAGUCCGGCGAAAGCCGGAUUAAUACCGCAUACGACCUACGGGUGAAAGCGGGGGACCGUAAGGCCUCGCGCUAUUGGAGCGGCCGAUGUCAGAUUAGGUAGUUGGUGGGGUAAAGGCCUACCAAGCCUACGAUCUGUAGCUGGUCUGAGAGGACGACCAGCCACACUGGGACUGAGACACGGCCCAGACUUUUACGGGAGGCAGCAGUGGGGAAUUUUGGACAAUGGGCGCAAGCCUGAUCCAGCCAUGCCGCGUGCGGGAAGAAGGCCUUCGGGUUGUAAACCGCUUUUGUCAGGGAAGAAACGCCUUGAGAUAAUACCUCGGGGUAGUGACGGUACCUGAAGAAUAAGCACCGGCUAACUACGU